GCUCGAGGUCCUCUACUGUACUCGGGAUGUGCUGGUCGCUGCAUCAGCAGCGGCGCUUCCCUGGGCGGUGGUCGGUGCAGCUUUCGCCGCCGCGCUGCCACUGGCGGACGACCCGUCCCCGGCGCUCCCGGCGGCCACCCGUGCUGCCGCGGCCGAAGACGACGACGCCGCCGCCGCCUCCCCCGCAGCGGCGGCCGGCGGCGGCUGCUUGCGCUUGCGGCUCUUCUUCUCGUAGGGUAUGCCCCGCGCCUUGGCCUGCGCGUCGCGGACGUCGCGGAGGUAGAUCCGCACGGCGCGGGCGGCGAAGGGGUUGGACUCGGGCGCGUGGCCGCUCUCCUCGUACGCGGCGCGCAGGCGGCCGAUGAGCGCGUCGAGGGAGCCCCAGGCCUGGUGCAGCGGGCACGGGCACGGCGCCGGCGGGCUGGGCUGGCCGAAGUGGGCGCACCCGGCGGCGUGCACCUUGGUCUUGCCGAACUGGUCCAGGUACUUGAGGAACUCGAUGACGUGCGCGCCGCUGCACCGCGCCAGCGUCAGCGGCGGCCGGUGGUUCUGCAGGUACUGCAGGAACGUGUUCCAGUCCCGCCGCUUCUGCGACUCGUACCUGCUCAGCUGAUGCGGCUGCGGCUGCGCCUGCGCCUGAGCAAGCGGCUGGAUCUGGUGCUGCUGCGGCGGCGCGUGCGCGUGCGCGUCGUCGCCGCCCGCCCCCGCCGCCGAGGACGGCCCGGCCCCGGCGCCGGCUGGCCCCGAGGGAUCCAUGCACGCAGCUGCUGCUCACCCGGCCGGCCGGGGCCGGGGCGCGGGCGAGAGCGCGAUCGUGCGGGUCAGUGGAGACGCGCACCGUCCGGGGCGGGCGCGGGGUUGGUUCGCGAUGGGAUGCGGGGGAGAGCGACGGGCCGGGGGGAGUGGAGAAAGGGAGGUGAACUGAAGGACGCUGCUGCUGCUAGCCUGCUAUAC
Molecule: unclassified non-coding RNA, 954 nt
Filed under: Zea mays
Lineage: Eukaryota; Viridiplantae; Streptophyta; Magnoliopsida; Poales; Poaceae
Description: misc RNA Zm00001eb351890
Source: RNAcentral